ACGGGUGAGUAACACGUGGGCAACCUGCCCUUGAGACUGGGAUAACUUCGGGAAACCGGAGCUAAUACCGGAUAAUAUAAGGAACCUCCUGGUUCCUUGUUGAAAGAUGGUUUCGGCUAUCACUUAAGGAUGGGCCCGCGGCGCAUUAGCUAGUUGGUGAGGUAACGGCUCACCAAGGCGACGAUGCGUAGCCGACCUGAGAGGGUGAUCGGCCACACUGGGACUGAGACACGGCCCAGACUCCUACGGGAGGCAGCAGUAGGGAAUCUUCCACAAUGGACGAAAGUCUGAUGGAGCAACGCCGCGUGAGUGAUGAAGGCCUUCGGGUCGUAAAGCUCUGUUGUUAGGGAAGAACAAGUGCGAGAGUAACUGCUCCCACCUUGACGGUACCUAACCAGAAAGCCACGGCUAACUACGUGCCAGCAGCCGCGGUAAUACGUAGGUGGCAAGCGUUAUCCGGAAUUAUUGGGCGUAAAGCGCGCGCAGGUGGUUUCUUAAGUCUGAUGUGAAAGCCCACGGCUCAACCGUGGAGGGUCAUUGGAAACUGGGGAACUUGAGUGCAGAAGAGGAAAGUGGAAUUC
This 581-nucleotide ribosomal RNA is filed under the name uncultured bacterium. RNAcentral describes it as "bacterial SSU rRNA". It matches the Rfam family "Bacterial small subunit ribosomal RNA", at positions 102 to 669 of the family's 1533-position model. The record is from RNAcentral.